UGGGGAAUAUUGGACAAUGGGCGAAAGCCUGAUCCAGCCAUGCCGCGUGUGUGAAGAAGGUCUUCGGAUUGUAAAGCACUUUAAGUUGGGAGGAAGGGCAGUAAGCGAAUACCUUGCUGUUUUGACGUUACCGACAGAAUAAGCACCGGCUAACUCUGUGCCAGCAGCCGCGGUAAUACAGAGGGUGCGAGCGUUAAUCGGAUUUACUGGGCGUAAAGCGUGCGUAGGCGGCUAAUUGAGUCGGAUGUGAAAUCCCCGAGCUUAACUUGGGAAUUGCAUUCGAUACUGGUUAGCUAGAGUGUGGGAGAGGAUGGUAGGAUUCCAGGUGUAGCGGUGAAAUGCGUAGAGAUCUGGAGGAAUACCGAUGGCGAAGGCAGCCAUCUGGCCUAACACUGACGCUGAGGUACGAAAGCAUGGGGAGCAAACAGG
This 429-nucleotide ribosomal RNA is filed under the name Pseudomonadota bacterium. RNAcentral's name for it is "Proteobacteria bacterium partial 16S ribosomal RNA". It matches the Rfam family "Bacterial small subunit ribosomal RNA", at positions 355 to 776 of the family's 1533-position model. The record is from RNAcentral. Lineage: Bacteria; Pseudomonadati; Pseudomonadota.